UGUGAUUGAUAUUCUCCUGCAGCUCAUAAGGUUAUAGGACAUUAUUCGAAUGAAGUAUAGGAAAUACAGUAACCAAAAUAGAAUGGAUACACAUUUUCUAAAUGUGGUACAUAUGCGGCAUUUAAAAUGUCCCAUGCGCAGUAUCCAAUUGAAGUGAUUGCCAUCUUCUUGGUACAGAACACUUGCAGAGUUCUUGAUACAUAUCACUGCAAAUGAAUAUUAAUACAAUUAUUAUAACCAUAUUUUGUUAACGAAUUUGAAGUUUGUUUGUAAAUUGCCUACAAUUUACUAAAUAGAACUUUUCUAUAGACAAAAUUACCAACCGNNNNNNNNNNNNNNNNNNNNNNNNNNNNNNNNNNNNNNNNNNNNNNNNNNNNNNNNNNNNNNNNNNNNNNNNNNNNNNNNNNNNNNNNNNNNNNNNNNNNNNNNNNNNNNNNNNNNNNNNNNNNNNNNNNNNNNNNNNNNNNNNNNNNNNNNNNNUACUAAUGGAAUUUUUCUUGUUACUAUAUUUACCAACCAAUUACAAACACAAUUUAAAUAAUCAAAAACCAAUUUUACUAACUCAAUUUCUAUAUGUUAAGUAAAUUUACUAACGAAUUUCCAACUGAAUUUUUGUUAGUAAAUUUACCAAAGAAAAUCUUGGACUCAAGAUUCAAAAAUUACCAACAAAUUUAUUUGGUGUUUACUAACUAAUUCUUAGUUGGUAAGUUUACCAACCAAUUCAAUAUGGUUGGUAAAAUUUACCAUCGAACCUUUUAGCAACAUGCCAAUUUUCGUUGGUAAUCGGUUAGUAAGUCAAAAUACCAACCAAUUUGAUCAAUUUAGCAACAGGCCAAUUUCCGUUGGUAAUCGGUUAGUAAGUCAAAAUACCAAUCAAUUUGAUCAAUUUACCAACAUUUUUUUUGUUGGUAAUUGAGUUUUUUUUGUAGUGUAUGGUGAAUUGGUUUAUGUUGUUAUCGUCCUUUAUUAUCCCAAGGUUUAUUACCUUUUUCAUUACUUUGCAUGUUGACCCCUUUUUUCUCUUAUAAUUCUUUUUUCUUGUAAGAAAAUUCAAGUAGAUCUCAGACAAUUUAUAUCUAUAUAUAAAUAUAAUUUUGAAAAUGAAAAACAUGAUAUAGCAUACCUCCUCCACAUGUGAAUUAUACACACUUUAUUUUUUGACCGAUUAUCGGUGAAAUAUUCAAUAAUGUAUAUUUUGAACAUAUGUUAUGUCUAAUAGAAAAUAAUUUUAGUUAAACUGUCAAAAUAAAAUCGUUGCCAACUUUAAGGAGCUAUAUAUAUUUGCCAAAUAUUAAUUGUAAUUUUAACACACAUAAUAAUUUUUCAGUGGUAUAAGAAGGCCUUUGCCGGUUAAAAUUAAUUGUAAUUUGAAAUAUUAAAAUAAAAACUUAAAUCUGGAAAAAGAGUUAGUGCCUUGCUAUGUUACUAUAUACAAGAAAAUUAUAACUUCAUAUUAAAAAGAGUUGGGAAUAUUAUUUAAUACAUUCAUAUGUGCUCAUAUUAAUGAUUAAAAAUUUUAGAAAAUGAAACUUGAAAACUUGGAAGAGAUAUUUGUUGUAUUCUAAGUGUCAUCUUCAUGAAACUAUUUAAAAAUUAAUUGAAAGGGUCAAAUAAGGAACUAAAAAAAAUGGAAUUCUUUUAAAAUUAAUUCUCACUUACUGAAAAGAUGGUAGUUUUAUUGUGAUAUAAUUUUAUAUAAAUAAAAAGAUUAAAUAGUCACUACCAGAAAAUAAUAUAAUAUUUAAUCAUUAGUUACUAGUAUUAUAUUUUUAUCCAACAUAUGAUACACUUUAAGGAUUUAAAAGUUGACCUACAUUAGUUUGUGUUGGAUUGGACUUUUCAUCGGGAGUUGAGCACUCAGAUUCAGAUGAGCACGACUUUUCACCCUUAGACGGACGGUCAGUCCGAGCGUACUAUUCAAAUAUUAGAGGACAUGGUGCGUGCUUGUGUUAUUGAUUUUGGAGGUUCUUGGGCUGAGUUCUUGCUGCUUGCGGAGUUUGCUUACAACAAUAGUUAUCAGUCCAGCAUUCAAAUGGUACUGUAUGAGGCUUUAUAUAGGAGACGGUGUAGAUCCCCAGUUGCUGGUUUGAGCCUGGCGAGGCUAGAUUAUUGGGGUCACAGUUAGUUCAGAAUACCUUAGAGAAAGUGAAAGUUAUUCAAGAGAGACUUCGUACGGCUCAGUCGCGUAAUAAGAGUUAUGCAGACCGGAAUGUUUGGGAUGUAUCUUAUAUGGUGGGCGAGAAGGUUUUGUUGAAUGUUUUGCCUAUGAAAGUCGUGAGGUUUGGAAAGAAAGGAAAGCUGAGUCCGCGGUACAUUGGACCUUUUGAGAUACUCAGGAGGACUAGGGAGGUGAUCUAUAUGCUUGCUUUGCCACCUAGUUGUCGAUGAUUCACCCGGUAUUCCAUGUUUUUAUGCGCAGGAAGUAUGUUGGGGACCCGUCUCAUGUAUUAGACUUCAGCACGAUCCAAUUGGAUGAGGGCUUUACCUAUGAUGUGGAGCUAGUGGCUAUUUUCGGUCGCCAGGUUCGAAAGUUGAGAUCAAAAGACAUAGCUUCGGUGAAGGUGCAGUGGAGAGGUCAGCCCGUGGAGGAGGCCACUUAGGAGACCGAGCAGGAGAUGCGGAGCAGAUACCUGCACCUAUUUGAGACUUCAAGUAUGUUUCUUGACCCGCUCGAUGACGAGCGUUUGUUUUAGUUGGGGAGGAUAAGCUUCGGUGAAGGUGCAGUGGAGAGGUCAGCCCGUGGAGGAGGCCACUUAGGAGACCGAGCAGGAGAUGCGGAGCAGAUAUCCUCGUUUUUUUAGGCUCUAGGUAUGUUUCUUGACCCGCUCGAGGACGAGCGUUUGUUUUAGUUGGGGAGGAUGUGACGACCCGGUCCGUCGUCAUGUGAGUUACCGCCCCGCUUUCCCCGUCUUAUGCUUCUAUAUGUUCAUUUUUAUGUGUUUGUAAAGUUUGAAGUGAUUCGAUCAGAGUUUGGUUGAGAUUGAGACAAUUAGUCUCUUUAAGAGAAGGCUAGUUUGUGAAAAGUCAACCGGAUGUUGACUUAUGAGUUAUAGGGCUCGGAAUGAAUUUCCGGUGAUUCUACUAGUUUUGGGUGGUGAUUUAUGACUUGGGAGUGAAAACGGAACUGAAUUUGGAGGUCCGAUAUAGAAUUAGGCUUGAAUUGGCUAAGUAUGAAUUUCGGUAAAUUACGGUUGAUAGGUGAGAUAUUGAUCCGGGGCUCGGAAUGGAAUUUCGAGAGUUUUUGUAGCUUCAUUAGGUAAUGUUGGAUAUGUCUGCAAAUUUCCAGGUCAAUCAGACGUCAUUUGGUCGGGUUUUUGAUCGAAUGUUAGUUUCGAAAGUUAUAGUUGGAACUUAGGCUUGGAUACUCCAUGAUUUGAUGAUUUUUGUGUUUAGGGUCGUGUUUUUAUGAUUGGAACGAGUUUGUGUGAUGCUUUGGAGUAUGUUGGUAUUUUUGGUUGGGGGUCUUGGGGGCCUCGGGGUGAUUUCGGGGGUUUAAGCAGAUCAUUUUUGAGAGGCUUGGAGAUUUGUUCAAUGUGAUCGCGGUCAGAGGUAUGUGAUCGCAUAGGUUGGGGAAGUUAUUCUCUGCGAUCGCAAUAGGUCUUAUGUGAUCGCGUAGUGUAAUGAGCAUGGGUUUCCUGAGGUGUAUUUGUGCAGUGUGAUCGCGAGGUAAGGUAUGCGAUCGUGUGGUGUUGGACUUAGAAGUAGUGCGAUCACGUAGUGGGUGUUGCGAUCGCAUAGGCCAUUUUGGAGAUUUGGAAUAAUUGUUAAAUGCGAUAGCAGGUGAAGUGAGGUGAUGUGAUCGCAUAGAAGAAUUGCCUGGGUAGACGGAAGGGUUCUAUAACAUAUCAUCCGCGAGCUAAUAUCAUAUUUCACCAUUGUUGAGCACAUUUUCUCGUCGUUAUUAAUGAUUUGUGAAUAAAGAAUGUGAGCUUAUAGCUCCAAACGUGAGAGUGUUUGGUCGGGCUUGCCUAGCAAUGUGCUGGGCGCCAUCACGACCGGGUUGGGGUCGUGACAUGGACAUGCCGUUAGGAGUUGUUUGGUGUUACUCUAACAGGUGGAUAGGCUCAAUUAAAAGGGAGACUCUGCCGAAAUAUUUGAAAAAUCUAGGAGUUAGUCAAAUUUUGGGGACUUAAGAAAGUUAAAAUGUUGGAAGAAUAUCUUACUCUAUAUGAAGUCGUUCGGUUCACUUGGUUGUGGAUUGUGGGGUGUUGUCCCGGCUAUGGUGGUAGUUCUUGCGUGUUGUGAGAAGAAAUGACUUAUUACGGGUCCAGGAAAGGCUAUCAGCCUAGUUCAAUGCGAGCAGAAUUGACCUGAAGUGGGUGAAUGGAUUUAAAUAGGAUUAUGGGCUUCAUGUGAGUUAGAUAUGUUCAUUUCAGUAUAGCGCUACUCAAGGAGGGGUAUUGGAAUAUCAUAUGUUGUUCCGUGUUCGUCAAUUCAUAUAAUAUUAUGAUUGUUCCAUGUGUGUUGUGAAACGGUUUGAUAAAUUCCUAUUCUCUGGGAAAAGGCCAUAUUAGUUGUGUGAGCUGAGCAAUCCAUUCCUGAAUCAUUUUCUUAUGUAUCCUGUUUGCAUUAUGGCCUAUUGGCGCAUUUUUGCAUCUUGUGAGACCGUUGGUCAUUGUUUGUGGUGAUUGGUUGUCCGAGCAGCUCGUAGUAGGAAAGAAGCUUUUCAUUGCGGCAACCUUAAGUUGAAGAAAAUGGCUAAGAUUGGAAUUUUGAGCAAACGACCUCGGAAUUGGGAUCUGAAAGUUCCAGCAUGUUAGUAUGAUGAUUUCGGACUUGGGAGUAUGUCAAGAUUUGGUUUUUAACAACCCGUGAGCAUUUCGGCGUAUACUGUGGAAGUUAGUAUUUCAGAAGAAUCGAAAUUGGGAUCUGAAAGUUCCAUCAUGUUAGUAUGAUGAUUUCGGAGUUGGGAGUAUGUCAAGAUUUGGUUUUUAAUAACCCGUGAGCAUUCCUGCGUAUAUUGUGGAAGUUAGUAUUUCAGAAUAAUUUCAUAAAAUUGGGCUAGAAGGAAUUUCAGAGUUAUAGAUGUUCUUUUGGGAUUCCGAGUCUUGGAAUAGCUCCUAUGGUGAUUCUGGAGUUGGGAGCGCGAUCGGAAGUGAAUUUGGAUGUCCGUAGGUCAUUUUGAAGUCAUUUUAUAAAUAUAGGAAUUUGAAGUCUUUUGAGAAAAUUCGUCUGAAAGUGAAAAUUUUAAUAUCAGGGUCGUGAUGCGAUUCUGAAAGUUGGUGCAAGUCUGUAAUGUCGAAUGUUAUUUGUGUGCAAAAUUUGAAGUCAUUCGGACUAGUUUUGGUAAGGUUUGAGACACUUAGUCUCUUUUAAGGAAGCUUAAGUUGGAAAAGUUAACCGGAUAUGACUUAUGUGUUAUAGGGCUUGAAAUACAAAUUUUAUGGUCCGUAUAGCUUCAAAAGCUUAAGUUUGAAACGUUAACCGGAUAUUCACUUAUGCGUUAUAGGACUCGAAAUGCAAAUUUUAUGGUUUGGAUAGCUUCAUUAGGUGAUUUGGAACUUAGGAGUGGGUCCGAAAUAUUUUUGUGAUGACCGGGGUAGAAUUAAGCUUGAAUUGGCAAAGUUAGUGUUUUGGCGAAUUCCGUUAAUAGGUGAGAUUUCGAUCCGGGAGUUGGAAUGGAAUUCAGAGAGUUGUUGUAGCUUUUUUAUGCCAUUUGUGAUGUGUGUGCAAAAUUUCAGGUUAUUCAGACAUCGUUUGGUCGGGUUUUUCAUCGAAAGUGUAUUUUCGGAAGUUUUUGAAAACUUAGGCUUGAAUUCGAUGAGUUUUGGAUAAUUUUAUAUAGUUUGAGGUAUUUUGAUUAUUGGAGCAGGUUUUAAUGAUGCUAUGAAUUAGGGCAUGAUUGGUUGAGGUCCCACUAGCCUCGGGUGUGUUUCGGAUGCCCAACGGGUCAUUUUUGGAAAAUUUUUGACGUUUUGAGCAUAAAUGUAAUGAUCUAAAGGUUCAUUUUUAGUAUUAGAGAUCCAAAUUUGAUUUCACGUUUUGAGCAUAAAUGUAAUGAUAUAAAGGUUCAUUUUUAGUAUUAGAGAUCCAAAUUUGAUUUCCAGACUUCCGGAAUUUAAAUCAUGAAUUACAAGAAUGAUCUGAAAAUUUUGGUUUAAUUUCAUUAAGUCGCGAUUAGGUUUUUGACGCAAAAUGUGAGUUAAUUGUUUAACGAGCGAAAUGGGUAUUGAACUGCGCAAAUGAGCUAUGAAUUGAGUUUCUAUUAAAGGGUUGUGUUUGUAUUAUUAUUUGUGACUCAUAGGAAUAAGAAUCGUCUGAUUCCGAGUUUGUAUGAUGGAGGUAGAGCCAUUAAAGUGAAAAAUGGUUGUCCUGCAAAUUUCUUAAAAUCUGCUGUAUUUUUUGCAGCAGUGACCAGUAACCGCGCGGGUGAACAUUGACCAAUGAACAGUGACGGGUGAACACUGACCAGUGAACAGUGCCCGUGAAUAGUGCGUGAAUAGUGUAUGUGAACAUUGACAGAAUGUUAAGUUCUGAACCCAUUUUCCAUUUUUGAUGAUUUGGAGCUUGGAUAAGGCGAUUUUUCGAGGGGUUUUUGGAGAGAACAACGGGAUAACUGUUCUUAACUCAAUUUUGAUUAUAUUACUCGAAUAAAUUGCAAGUUUUAUCAUUAAUCCGUGAAUUUAAGGGAGAAAAACUUAGAAACCCUCUCAGAUAUAAUUGAGGAUUCGAAGGUCGAAACGAUAUGGGAAAUUGUAAAAUUUGGUAUGUAUAGACUCGUGGCGAGAUAAGAAAUAUUUUGAUGUAAAAAUUUCUGGAUUUUGAGAAGUGGGUCCGGGGCUCGGAUUUUGCCAAAUUUCGGGAUUUUGAUGCUUUUCAGUUGUUUUCGAUUGGGUAUUGUUCCUACAACAUAAUGUGACAUAUUCAUUUUGAUUUUGGAUAGAUUCGAUGCACUAAGAGGGCAAUUUGAGAGGCAAGGGCAUAGCGAGCUAGAGCCUUGGCCGGUUCGAAGAGAAUAAUAAUUUUAAAUGAUACACUAAGGGUCUGAAACCCCCGAUUGCACAACAUACUGAUAUGUUGAGAUGAGACACACGUUGUAUGAUGAUAGCGAGGUCAUUUACUAGUGGGGAUUGUGACUUGGUCCAUCCUAGUUGAUGUUUUACCGUGUAUUUAAUAAAUAAUUAUUAUUUUUUACCAUGAUUUGGGCUUAUUGCCAUAUUUGGGUUUCGUGCCAAUUAUUUGAAAUAUUUGUGAAUCACAUCACUAUUUUCCUCACCAAUUGAAAUAUNNNNNNNNNNNNNNNNNNNNNNNNNNNNNNNNNNNNNNNNNNNNNNNNNNNNNNNNNNNNNNNNNNNNNNNNNNNNNNNNNNNNNNNNNNNNNNNNNNNNNNNNNNNNNNNNNNNNNNNNNNNNNNNNNNNNNNNNNNNNNUUACAUUUAUACUCAAUUCGAGAUUUAAUGAUAUUUAUAAUGUUGUUGAGCUGAGCACUAUCGUUUUACUGAAUCCCAAGAGGCUUAUGAUUAUUUUUUUGACUGAUUGAGGCCGAGGGCCAUACGUGAGGAUAUGUUGAGUGAUGUGAGGAGGUUUUCAGGCCUUGAGUGUUAUGUGAGGUGGCUUUCAGGCCUCAAGUGUUAUGUGAGGAGGCUUUCAGGCCUCGAGUGUUAUGUGAGGAGGCUUUCAGGCCUCGUGUGUGAUAUGUGGAGGCUUUCAGACCUAUUGAUAUUCCGCUUGGGCUGUAGGAGCCCCUCCGAAGUCUGUACACACCCCCAGUGAGCGCAGGGUACCCAGGUGAGUUGGGAGUGGGCCUGAGAGGUGGUGAGUUGGGAGUGAACCCGAGGGGCUCAUGUUGUGUGUUGGUGAGUUGGGAGUGAGCAUGUGGGGUCGAUACUGUACUGUUUGAUAUUGAGCCCGAGGGUCAAGCUUUUGAUCAUUCCUUACUGAUGAAAUAAAUGAUCUUUAUUGUUUUAAAAAGAGAAUUAUUUGAUACCCACUUUUACUGCUUGAGAUAGCGUUAUAUUAUGCCUUUAUGGGAUUUCAUGCUUCCAGUCAUUAUUUAUUUUUAUUACCACUGAGUUGGAAGUGCUCACUUUACCACUGUUAUAAUAUAUAACUGAUUUUACUGCUUGAGAUAGCGUUAUAUUGUGCCUUUAUGAGAUUUCAUGCUUCCUGUCGUUAUUUAUUUUUAUUACCACUAAAUUGGAAGUACUCACUUUACUCCCUUCACCAUGCGUGAAGAUGUAGGUAUUGAUCACCCGGUAGUGGGAUGUUAACUUAUUGAAGGUAUUUCUAUUGUAGCUGAGCAAGGUGAACGUCACCGUUUGCGGUACCGUAUCUCUUCCUUUGAUUCUAAUUUUUCCAUUAUAUAUAUUACCGGUCUUAUAAUAGUGAUUAGAUUCUUCAGAUGCUCUUGACUUGUGACACCCUGAUUUCGGGCUGAGUUGGGCUGGUUCCCUGUUUCAUCAUUUUUCUUCCGCACUUUGUGACACCCCGAUUUCAGGCUGAGUUGGGCUGGUUCCCUGUUUCGUCAUUUUUCUUCCGCACUUAUGAUUGUAUUCUCUGAAUUGGACUUAUUCCUUCAAAGUUAAUACAUUGUCGGCUGGCCUUGUCCUCACGAGAGACGCCAUCACGACUAAAUUUGGGAUUUUGGAUCGUGACAAGAUCAUAACAUAAUAGCUUCAAAAGAUCUAUUUUAUUAAUCAAAUUAUAGCAUUUAUAGAAAUUCCAAAUCAUUUGAGCAAAACUUUAAUAAACAACCUUUUUCAUUUUCAUGAAGAAGCAGAAGAAGAAAAACUAGAAAUUAAGUACCCUAAUUGAACUUCUGCUCCACUGAAGCAAACAAAGAAAAUCUACAAACCAAGAUCCUAUAAAAGUUCGUAAACUCAAACAGUCAAAUGUAAACACAAAGAGUUUAGAGACAAAGCUGUCAAACCCAAAAACAAAUUUUCAAGAAAACCCCAUUAACUUCUCUUCACUUUAGGUAUAAAAACAAAGAAAUAAGUGGUCAUAAAAUUACCUAAAGGAAUCUAGAACAACACAGGACACUAGUCUAGUGUAGUAACUUCAGUACCCCAAAAUGAGCUGUACAUUUAUUACUACAUAAGUAAUUAGGCAUGCCAAGAGAGGUUGGAAAGAGUAGUAACUAAUGAGUUCGUGAACAAUGAUCCUAUGCUUUUUUCUUGAUUCCUAUAACAAAGUAUCGCUAAAGAAGUUGAAAUUUUCUAACUAAUAAGAGGAUUCUUUCAGCUAUUUAAUUAUACAUGGUAGCAAAUAUGACAAAAAGUAAAUUUCAAGAACAACAAAACAAAUUAUCUAUUGGUACUGCUUUUGGUUAUUUGAAAUUUUCAAAAAUAUUAUCACGCUCGUACAUAUCUUUUAAAAAUGUACUACUAUUGAAGGACCCAGCAGAAUUUUGAAGAUCUUGAACAUCAUAGGUUAAGACGCACUUGAUAGCUUCUUUACCUUUAAUUUCUCACAGUUGUUCUUAGGCAAAAAAAAAUAUUUGCACCUGAUAUUCUAUGUUCCUACGCAGUGUAACACAAAAUCAAUUUUUGUCCAAAGACACUGAAUUGUUGUUGUUCGCUUAGGCAAAAAAAAAUAUUCGCACCUGAUAUUCUAUGUUCCUACGCAGUGUAACACAAAAUCAAUUUUUGUCCAAAGACACUGAAUCGUUUUCUUGAUUUCAAUUCUUUUUUGCCAAAAUAAAAUUUGAAUUGCAAAUAAUUUCAUAAAUAAAAAAAUCCUAAAUUAAGACUUGCUGAGUAUCAGCAUUCCAUUAAGCACCUACAGGACUCGCAGCCUUCAAUUAGAAUACCUCAGCCAUGAAAUUGCUUUAAAAACACAAUUUUAUCACUCCAUUUAACACAUACUUGCCAUAAGAUUGCAAAGUUUAAAAUCAGAUAGCCCAAAAAAGAAUAGGGCAGAAAUUAAAAGAACGGAAAAAUGAUCUGGAGAAAAUCAGAAAAGAACCUACAACAAUCACUGAACUUCAGAAUCAAAACUAACAAUGAUAAAGAGAACCUAGAAGAAACCAAAAUGAAAAAAAAGGAAGGAAAAGUAGAAAAAAGAUACUGCAAAAUUGAUUGAAUAAAUAUCUACAGAUGCUUUACAAAUCUUACCAGAGAGACUUCAGAACAUCUUCGAUACGAAAGAGGCGUGGAGAUAAGAAAAGAAAGGUCUAGGAUCUGAUAUAAGAAAAAUGACACAUAGUGUCUGAGCAACACAUAGAGGGCACAUAUGUAAGUCAUGUGAAAUGACCUAAAUGCCCUCAAGGUUUGAUGAAUUGAUCGUAAGCACAUGUGUCGAA
Molecule: long non-coding RNA, 10242 nt
Filed under: Nicotiana benthamiana
Lineage: Eukaryota; Viridiplantae; Streptophyta; Magnoliopsida; Solanales; Solanaceae
Description: long non-coding RNA (NBEN_LNC005487)
Source: RNAcentral